Molecule: non-coding RNA, 433 nt
Organism: Parasteatoda tepidariorum (common house spider)
Lineage: Eukaryota; Metazoa; Arthropoda; Arachnida; Araneae; Theridiidae
Source: RefSeq, a predicted model, not a curated record
UAAUCCGGCAGAACGGGCCUUUCUACCUGCUUAGCGACGACUCUCUAUUUUCUGAUAUGUCCAAAAGAUAAGGCUUGACAGUUAAUCUUGACAUUUAAAAAAAUUAAAAUUGUGUGAAAUGAAAUUCCAUCAAAUCCUGAUACAUUUGAAUACAAAAUACACAAAAAUACAUAAUUACAAGAAAAAAAAUAUUGCCAUUGCAAAUAAUAAUAACAAAUUUAAAUUUAUUUCAUUAUAAAUGUAGUUCACUUUUUAAUGUUUUUAAUUAAUCUUUAAAAAAAAAAAUAUGCGAAAGUAUUUGGUCAUUCCUUAUCUUUUUUGAUGGUAUAAUUUCUGCCCUUAAAGUAUCAUCAAUUAUGUACGAAAUCCCGACACUACUUUUAAGUCCCAAAUUAAAAAUUCCAUUGAAAUAAUUAGAAAAUAAUAUUGAAAG